This 234-nucleotide ribosomal RNA is filed under the name uncultured bacterium. RNAcentral describes it as "partial 16S ribosomal RNA". It matches the Rfam family "Bacterial small subunit ribosomal RNA", at positions 99 to 334 of the family's 1533-position model. The record is from RNAcentral.
CGCACGGGUGAGUAAUAUAUAGUUAAUGUGCCUCGAAGACCGGGAUAGCCAUUGGAAACGAUGAUUAAUACUGGAUAUACCUACUAAUCAUAAGUUUAGUAGGGAAACGUUUUUUCGCUUCGAGAUCAGACUAUAUCCCAUUAGUUAGUUGGUAGUGUAAGAGACUACCAAGGCAAUGACGGGUAGCGGGUUUGAGAGGAUGAUCCGCCACACUGGUACUGAGACACGGACCAG